ACUCCUACGGGACGCAGCAGUUGGGAAUCUUGGACAAUGGGGGAAACCCUGAUCCAGCCAUGCCGCGUGAGUGAUGAAGGCCUUAGGGUUGUAAAGCUCUUUUAUCCGGGAAGAUAAUGACUGUACCGGAAGAAUAAGCUCCGGCUAACUUCGUGCCAGCAGCCGCGGUAAUACGAAGGGGGCUAGCGUUGUUCGGAAUUACUGGGCGUAAAGCGCGCGCAGGCGGCUUUCCAAGUCAGUGGUGAAAGCCCGGAGCUCAACUCCGGAACUGCCAUUGAAACUGUGAAGCUAGAGGACGGGAGAGGUGAGUGGAAUUCCCAGUGUAGAGGUGAAAUUCGUAGAUAUUGGGAAGAACACCGGUGGCGAAGGCGGCUCACUGGCCCGUUUCUGACGCUCAGGCGCGACAGCGUGGGGAUCAAACAGGAUUAGAUACCCUGGUAGUCCACGCCGUAAACUAUGAACGCUAGCCGUUGGAUAGCUUGCUAUUCAGUGGCGCAGCUAACGCAUUAAGCGUUCCGCCUGGGGAGUACGGCCGCAAGGUUGAAACUCAAAUGAAUUGACGG
Molecule: ribosomal RNA, 563 nt
Filed under: uncultured Hyphomicrobiaceae bacterium
Lineage: Bacteria; Pseudomonadati; Pseudomonadota; Alphaproteobacteria; Hyphomicrobiales; Hyphomicrobiaceae
Description: bacterial SSU rRNA
Rfam family: Bacterial small subunit ribosomal RNA
Source: RNAcentral